AGUGAACGCUGGCGGUAGGCCUAACACAUGCAAGUCGAACGGCAGCACAGUAAGAGCUUGCUCUUACGGGUGGCGAGUGGCGGACGGGUGAGGAAUACAUCGGAAUCUACUUUUUCGUGGGGGAUAACGUAUGGAAACUUACGCUAAUACCGCAUACGACCUACGGGUGAAAGCAGGGGAUCUUCGGACCUUGCGCGAUUGAAUGAGCCGAUGUCGGAUUAGCUAGUUGGCGGGGUAAAGGCCCACCAAGGCGACGAUCCGUAGCUGGUCUGAGAGGAUGAUCAGCCACACUGGAACUGAGACACGGUCCAGACUCCUACGGGAGGCAGCAGUGGGGAAUAUUGGACAAUGGGCGCAAGCCUGAUCCAGCCAUACCGCGUGGGUGAAGAAGGCCUUCGGGUUGUAAAGCCCUUUUGUUGGGAAAGAAAAGCAGCAGGUUAAUACCCCGCUGUUUUGACGGUACCCAAAGAAUAAGCACCGGCUAACUUCGUG
Molecule: ribosomal RNA, 492 nt
Filed under: uncultured bacterium
Lineage: Bacteria
Description: partial 16S ribosomal RNA
Rfam family: Bacterial small subunit ribosomal RNA
Source: RNAcentral